Molecule: ribosomal RNA, 330 nt
Filed under: uncultured eukaryote
Lineage: Eukaryota
Description: partial 18S ribosomal RNA
Rfam family: Eukaryotic small subunit ribosomal RNA
Source: RNAcentral
CCCUUAGAUGUUCGGGGCCGCACGCGCGCUACACUGAAGGAAUCAGCACGUCUUUCUCCUUGUCCGAAAGGACUGGGUAACCCGCUGAACCUCCUUCGUGCUAGGGAUUGGGGCUUGUAAUUCUUCCCCAUGAACGAGGAAUUCCCAGUAAGCGCGAGUCAUAAGCUCGCGUUGAUUACGUCCCUGCCCUUUGUACACACCGCCCGUCGCUACUACCGCUUGGAUGGUUUAGUGAGAUCCUCGGAUUGGUCCCGGAGCGGCCUCUGGUCGUGCCGGAGUGCCGAAAAGAAUGUCGAACUUGAUCAUCUAGAGGAAGUAAAAGUCGUAACA